This 497-nucleotide ribosomal RNA is filed under the name uncultured bacterium. RNAcentral's name for it is "partial 16S ribosomal RNA". It matches the Rfam family "Bacterial small subunit ribosomal RNA", at positions 28 to 507 of the family's 1533-position model. The record is from RNAcentral.
GAUGAACGCUGGCGGCGUGCCUAAUACAUGCAAGUCGAGCGAACGGACGAGAAGCUUGCUUCUCUGAUGUUAGCGGCGGACGGGUGAGUAACACGUGGAUAACCUACCUAUAAGACUGGGAUAACUUCGGGAAACCGGAGCUAAUACCGGAUAAUAUUUUGAACCGCAUGGUUCAAAAGUGAAAGACGGUCUUGCUGUCACUUAUAGAUGGAUCCGCGCUGCAUUAGCUAGUUGGUAAGGUAACGGCUUACCAAUGCAACGAUGCAUAGCCGACCUGAGAGGGUGAUCGGCCACACUGGAACUGAGACACGGUCCAGACUCCUACGGGAGGCAGCAGUAGGGAAUCUUCCGCAAUGGGCGAAAGCCUGACGGAGCAACGCCGCGUGAGUGAUGAAGGUCUUCGGAUCGUAAAACUCUGUUAUUAGGGAAGAACAUAUGUGUAAGUAACUGUGCACAUCUUGACGGUACCUAAUCAGAAAGCCACGGCUAACUACGUG